This 77-nucleotide transfer RNA is filed under the name Camelus bactrianus (Bactrian camel). It matches the Rfam family "tRNA". From Rfam's summary of the family: Transfer RNA (tRNA) molecules are approximately 80 nucleotides in length. Their secondary structure includes four short double-helical elements and three loops (D, anti-codon, and T loops). Further hydrogen bonds mediate the characteristic L-shaped molecular structure. tRNAs have two regions of fundamental functional importance: the anti-codon, which is responsible for specific mRNA codon recognition, and the 3' end, to which the tRNAs corresponding amino acid is attached (by aminoacyl-tRNA synthetases). tRNAs cope with the degeneracy of the genetic code in two manners: having more than one tRNA (with a specific anti-codon) for a particular amino acid; and 'wobble' base-pairing, i.e. permitting non-standard base-pairing at the 3rd anti-codon position. RNAcentral also lists the same sequence under 2 other names. Lineage: Eukaryota; Metazoa; Chordata; Mammalia; Artiodactyla; Camelidae. The record is from Rfam by way of RNAcentral.
GAGGGUAUAGCUCAACUGGUAAAAUGCAUGCUUGCUUAGCAUGCGUGAGGUCCUGGGUUCAACCCCCAGUAUCUCCU